GAUUGCAUCCCUUUCAAUAUCUUAAUGGAUUUAUUCAAGUCGGAUUCAUAGGCCCACUUCUAUUAGAAAGUGCUCUCUCUUAGUUUGUACCUUUAAUAGAAAAGGAUGUACGACUCUUUUAUGAUUUGAAUUCAUUUCUAGAAGUGUUUAUGGCUACAUUUGAAAAAAGUGAUUAAGAAAGAGUAGUAAAGACCAAAUACUUAUCUUUAUGACAAGGAUC
RNAcentral lists this long non-coding RNA (220 nucleotides) under Physcomitrium patens. RNAcentral describes it as "long non-coding RNA (PPAT_LNC001990)". Lineage: Eukaryota; Viridiplantae; Streptophyta; Bryopsida; Funariales; Funariaceae. The record is from RNAcentral.